UGGGGAAUUUUGGACAAUGGGCGAAAGCCUGAUCCAGCAAUGCCGCGUGUGUGAAGAAGGCCUUCGGGUUGUAAAGCACUUUUGUCCGGAAAGAAAUCCUUGGCUCUAAUACAGUCGGGGGAUGACGGUACCGGAAGAAUAAGCACCGGCUAACUACGUGCCAGCAGCCGCGGUAAUACGUAGGGUGCAAGCGUUAAUCGGAAUUACUGGGCGUAAAGCGUGCGCAGGCGGUUUGCUAAGACCGAUGUGAAAUCCCCGGGCUCAACCUGGGAACUGCAUUGGUGACUGGCAGGCUAGAGUAUGGCAGAGGGGGGUAGAAUUCCACGUGUAGCAGUGAAAUGCGUAGAGAUGUGGAGGAAUACCGAUGGCGAAGGCAGCCCCCUGGGCCAAUACUGACGCUCAUGCACGAAAGCGUGGGAGAA
RNAcentral lists this ribosomal RNA (422 nucleotides) under uncultured bacterium. Its description in RNAcentral is "partial 16S ribosomal RNA". It matches the Rfam family "Bacterial small subunit ribosomal RNA", at positions 355 to 769 of the family's 1533-position model. The record is from RNAcentral.